UUCGAAAACUUUCGUCGUAUUUGAACGCUGGUCACCAGAACAAGAGAAUUUACCAUAGAAGGAGAAGUUAUCAAUCAGAAUUAAAUGGCGGAUAUCAGCUCCAAGAAAGCAAGCAUCCGAUCCCAGACGCUCAUGCAAGACAUAAACAACAAGAAGACAUAUUUCGUCUCUGAAAUCUUCUGAUAUAAUAUAGAAAUGAUUAUAUAAUAAUUGAUCCGGAUGGAGUCAAUAUUUACAAGUGAAUCGACACGAAGAACUUUGUUUUACUACAUAUUGGAGAUGGUGCUGUUUAUGACAAUUACUUUUCCUAUCAGGAUCAGUAACAUGAACGAAUAGCACAACAACGCCAUCACCAUAACGCCAACGACAAAAUCAAAUACAUGAAUACAAACAUGUUUUGUAUUGUAACUUUUCUACAUUAAUCUUAUCAGAUGAGAAUUAUUUUUCCAAUUCUUACGAACUACCAUGACUACGUGUCAUUAGAAUAUACUGACAGAUAAACUUUACAAGUACAUUACAUUGUAUGUCUGUUUUCCUUCGAAGUAUAAGCGAAGAAUACCGCACGGUACGGUAUGCAUGAAAGA
Octopus bimaculoides (California two-spot octopus) is the source of this 584-nucleotide long non-coding RNA. NCBI's taxonomy places the organism in Eukaryota, Metazoa, Mollusca, Cephalopoda, Octopoda, Octopodidae. The record is from RefSeq and is a predicted model, not a curated record.